Molecule: transfer RNA, 77 nt
Filed under: Ipomoea nil (Japanese morning glory)
Lineage: Eukaryota; Viridiplantae; Streptophyta; Magnoliopsida; Solanales; Convolvulaceae
Rfam family: tRNA
About the family: Transfer RNA (tRNA) molecules are approximately 80 nucleotides in length.
Source: Rfam by way of RNAcentral
GACGGUUUGGCCGAGUGGUCUAAGGCGCCAGAUUUAGGCUCUGGUGAAAGGCGUGGGUUCAAAUCCCACAGCCGUCA